ACGGGAGAUUUUGGGAGAUGGG
RNAcentral lists this microRNA (22 nucleotides) under Petromyzon marinus (sea lamprey). RNAcentral's name for it is "pma-miR-4614". Lineage: Eukaryota; Metazoa; Chordata; Hyperoartia; Petromyzontiformes; Petromyzontidae. The record is from miRBase by way of RNAcentral.